This 400-nucleotide unclassified non-coding RNA is filed under the name uncultured fungus. Its description in RNAcentral is "sequence contains ITS1". The stretch from base 1 to 105 matches the Rfam family "5.8S ribosomal RNA", at positions 50 to 154 of the family's 154-position model. The record is from RNAcentral. Lineage: Eukaryota; Fungi.
GAAAUGCGAUACGUAAUGUGAAUUGCAGAAUUCAGUGAAUCAUCGAAUCUUUGAACGCAUAUUGCGCUCUCUGGUAUUCCGGAGAGCAUGCUUGUUUGAGUAUCAGUAAACACCCCUCGAAAAUCCCUUGAUGAAAAUCUCUGGGUUAUUUUUUUUUCGGAUUUGAGUGAUCCCAACGUGUGUCCCUUUCGCAGGGACAUGGGGCGGGCCACUUGAAAUGCAGGUGCAGCUGGACUUUCUUCUGAGCUAUAAGCAUAUUUAUUUAGUCCUGUCAACCUUGUGUUGCGGAUUAUUACUUCUGCUGCAGCUAAUAUAAAGGUCGAAAGGUUCAAAUGCUGACUGAUGCAGGAAUUUUUCAGUUGGGGGCGGUAAGCUCUCCUCUGUUAAACUCGAUCUCAAA